Molecule: ribosomal RNA, 481 nt
Filed under: uncultured bacterium
Lineage: Bacteria
Description: partial 16S ribosomal RNA
Rfam family: Bacterial small subunit ribosomal RNA
Source: RNAcentral
GAUGAACGCUGGCGGCGUGCUUAACACAUGCAAGUCGAACGAAGCAUUUAAGACAGAUUACUUCGGUUUGAAGUCUUUUAUGACUGAGUGGCGGACGGGUGAGUAACGCGUGGGUAACCUGCCUCAUACAGGGGGAUAGCAGCUGGAAACGGCUGGUAAUACCGCAUAAGCGCACAGUACCACAUGGUACAGUGUGAAAAACUCCGGUGGUAUGAGAUGGACCCGCGUCUGAUUAGCUUGUUGGCGGGGUAACGGCCCACCAAGGCGACGAUCAGUAGCCGACCGGAGAGGGUGACCGGCCACAUUGGGACUGAGACACGGCCCAGACUCCUACGGGAGGCAGCAGUGGGGAAUAUUGCACAAUGGAGGAAACUCUGAUGCAGCGACGCCGCGUGAGUGAAGAAGUAGUUCGCUAUGUAAAGCUCUAUCAGCAGGGAAGAUAGUGACGGUACCUGACUAAGAAGCUCCGGCUAAAUACGUG